RNAcentral lists this ribosomal RNA (252 nucleotides) under uncultured bacterium. Its description in RNAcentral is "partial 16S ribosomal RNA". It matches the Rfam family "Bacterial small subunit ribosomal RNA", at positions 524 to 776 of the family's 1533-position model. The record is from RNAcentral.
UACGUAGGGUGCAAGCGUUAUCCGGAUUUAUUGGGCGUAAAGGGUGCGUAGGCGGUCUUUUAAGUCAGCGGUAAAAAUUCGGGGCUCAACCCCGUCCGGCCGUUGAAACUGGGGGUCUUGAGUGGGCGAGAAGAAGGCGGAAUGCGUGGUGUAGCGGUGAAAUGCAUAGAUAUCACGCAGAACCCCGAUUGCGAAGGCAGCCUUCCGGCGCCCUACUGACGCUGAGGCACGAAAGUGCGGGGAUCGAACAGG